RNAcentral lists this ribosomal RNA (254 nucleotides) under uncultured bacterium. Its description in RNAcentral is "partial 16S ribosomal RNA". It matches the Rfam family "Bacterial small subunit ribosomal RNA", at positions 524 to 776 of the family's 1533-position model. The record is from RNAcentral.
UACGAAGGGGGCUAGCGUUGUUCGGAAUUACUGGGCGUAAAGCGCGCGCAGGCGGUUCUUCAAGUCAGAGGUGAAAGCCCAGAGCUCAACUCUGGAAUGGCCUUUGAGACUAGAGAACUAGGGUACGGGAGAGGUGAGUGGAAUUCCGAGUGUAGAGGUGAAAUUCGUAGAUAUUCGGAAGAACACCAGUGGCGAAGGCGGCUCACUGGCCCGUUACCGACGCUCAGGCGCGACAGCGUGGGGAGGCAAACAGG